This 1293-nucleotide ribosomal RNA is filed under the name uncultured Bacteroidota bacterium. RNAcentral's name for it is "bacterial SSU rRNA". It matches the Rfam family "Bacterial small subunit ribosomal RNA", at positions 80 to 1380 of the family's 1533-position model. The record is from RNAcentral. Lineage: Bacteria; Pseudomonadati; Bacteroidota.
CUUGCUAUCCAGAGAGCGGCGUACGGGUGCGUAACACGUGUGCAACCUACCUUUAUCUGGGGGAUAGCCUUUCGAAAGGAAGAUUAAUACCCCAUAAUAUGGUGUCCGGCAUCGGUCGCCAUUGAAAGCCUCGGCGGAUAGAGAUGGGCACGCGCAAGAUUAGAUAGUUGGCGGGGUAACGGCCCACCAAGUCGAUGAUCUUUAGGGGUCCUGAGAGGGAGAUCCCCCACACUGGUACUGAGACACGGACCAGACUCCUACGGGAGGCAGCAGUGAGGAAUAUUGGACAAUGGGUGGAAGCCUGAUCCAGCCAUCCCGCGUGAAGGAUGACGGUCCUAUGGAUUGUAAACUUCUUUUGUACAGGGAUAAACCUGCCCUCGUGAGGGCAGCUGAAGGUACUGUACGAAUAAGCACCGGCUAACUCCGUGCCAGCAGCCGCGGUAAUACGGAGGGUGCGAGCGUUAUCCGGAUUUAUUGGGUUUAAAGGGUCCGUAGGCGGGCCUGUAAGUCAGUGGUGAAAUCUCAUAGCUUAACUAUGAAACUGCCAUUGAUACUGCAGGCCUUGAGUAAAUUUGAAGUGGCUGGAAUAAGUAGUGUAGCGGUGAAAUGCAUAGAUAUUACUUAGAACACCGAUUGCGAAGGCAGGUCACUAAGAUUUAACUGACGCUGAUGGACGAAAGCGUGGGGAGCGAACAGGAUUAGAUACCCUGGUAGUCCACGCCGUAAACGAUGCUAACUCGUUUUUGGAUCUUCGGGUUCAGAGACCAAGCGAAAGUGAUAAGUUAGCCACCUGGGGAGUACGUCCGCAAGGAUGAAACUCAAAGGAAUUGACGGGGGCCCGCACAAGCGGUGGAUUAUGUGGUUUAAUUCGAUGAUACGCGAGGAACCUUACCAAGACUUAAAUGGGAAUUGACAGAUUUAGAAAUAGAUCCUCCUUCGGGCAAUUUUCAAGGUGCUGCAUGGUUGUCGUCAGCUCGUGCCGUGAGGUGUUAGGUUAAGUCCUGCAACGAGCGCAACCCCUGCCAACAGUUGCCAUCAUUCAGUUGGGGACUCUGUUGGGACUGCCUACGCAAGUAGAGAGGAAGGUGGGGAUGACGUCAAAUCAUCACGGCCCUUACGUCUUGGGCCACACACGUAAUACAAUGGCCGGUACAGAGGGCAGCUACCUGGUGACAGGAUGCGAAUCUCGAAAGCCGGUCUCAGUUCGGAUUGGAGUCUGCAACUCGACUCUAUGAAGCUGGAAUCGCUAGUAAUCGCGCAUCAGCCAUGGCGCGGUGAAUACGUUCCCGGGCC